RNAcentral lists this ribosomal RNA (421 nucleotides) under uncultured bacterium. RNAcentral's name for it is "bacterial SSU rRNA". It matches the Rfam family "Bacterial small subunit ribosomal RNA", at positions 361 to 774 of the family's 1533-position model. The record is from RNAcentral.
AUUUUGGACAAUGGGGGCAACCCUGAUCCAGCCAUCCCGCGUGUGCGAUGAAGGCCUUCGGGUUGUAAAGCACUUUUGGCAGGGAAGAAACAGCCUGGGCUAAUAUCCCGGGCGACUGACGGUACCUGCAGAAUAAGCACCGGCUAACUACGUGCCAGCAGCCGCGGUAAUACGUAGGGUGCAAGCGUUAAUCGGAAUUACUGGGCGUAAAGCGUGCGCAGGCGGUUCGGAAAGAAAGGUGUGAAAUCCCAGGGCUUAACCUUGGAACUGCACUUUUAACUACCGGGCUAGAGUACGUCAGAGGGGGGUAGAAUUCCACGUGUAGCAGUGAAAUGCGUAGAGAUGUGGAGGAAUACCGAUGGCGAAGGCAGCCCCCUGGGAUGAUACUGACGCUCAUGCACGAAAGCGUGGGGAGCAAACA